CGGGGAGAAGAGAGGCGGCGGCAGGUCUUGCCCGGCCGGCGAAAAAAGAAGGGAGAGGAAGAAGCCGGGCGAGGCGGUGGCGGAGCCGCCGCCGCGGCCACCGCCGACGGACGUGAUAUUCAGCUACAAAUUAUGUUUUGACUUCCAACAUAUCCAACCCUAACUGAUGAGAUGACAGAAGCUGCACUUCCUCUCUUGUGUCUUUCUUAUAGUUACGGCUUCCCUUGGCAUGACACUAAAGAGUGAGCUUAUUCAUCUGAAGAUCAGACUACUUCUAUAGCUGCUGAUGGCUCAUUAAACUCUCAAGGAACUGCAUCUUCAUCCAUCUAAUACUAUUGGCACCUUGUGAAGGAGAAAACAAAGCCAAGAUGUGGAUAGAACAGAUGGACUGGGGGGAAAGCAAGGAACAUGUAAGCAGACCCUCCAAGAUUCAAGGAGAGACAGCACAACAUAAGAUGAAAAACAAAACAAAGGAUUUCAUACAUAGGUUUGAGACAUAGCCAAGGAAAGAGCUACACCUGUUUCUCUGAAGGACAGAGAAAUCAGCAUAGCUUAAUCACAGUAGCCUAAGGAGCUGGCAAUGCUGCGGAAUGGAUAUUGGCAUCACUGUUUGGAGCACCAUUGUCCAAAGUGAUUCAUAUGUUACAGGUGAAUCACAACUAAUGCCAAAGAGAAAAUUGUUGGUCUGUCCAAUUUUGGUAUUUGGCUGAAUAGUUUCAGAGAUGUCCCAUUUUGCUCUAAGGGAAUCCAGAAACUAAGCAUCAUUUCCAGUCAGUGCAUUAGUGCGCCCAAAGAGAAUAAGCACUUAUGUGGAACAUGUCCACAAGUGCCACUGUUUCAGAAUGUGCUCAUGAUACAACAAAAAUUAAUCAAAAUCAAAUGGGUUGGUUACACAUUAAGUCACUUCACUAUUACAUUGUCAGCCAAUAUCACAAGAGUUUUCUUAGUUUCUCUGUGCACUAUUCAAGUGCACAGAGAGAUUAAGAUGUUUAAGAGGAAAUUGUUAUGUUAUAUAGAGGUAAUUAUAUUAUAUGUGUUGGAAAUAGGCAUUGAAUGCUUCCCAAAAUGCCAGUAAAUCCUCAACCCACUGUAUUUAUGUACUGCUAGAGAGCUUUAAAAAAUAUCUUUCCUCUCCCAUAUAACUUUUCUAAUGCCUAGAUAGUUUCUGUGAUAUAAUUAAAGAACUGUGUUGUUU
Molecule: long non-coding RNA, 1195 nt
Organism: Hemicordylus capensis (graceful crag lizard)
Lineage: Eukaryota; Metazoa; Chordata; Lepidosauria; Squamata; Cordylidae
Exons: 4
Source: RefSeq, a predicted model, not a curated record